UUUAUUUUCAGGCAAUGAUGAACGAAUGCUUCGAAAAACAAUGUCCUCAAGGUUUUGCUUUUCAUCGAAAGUUUCCCAUUCAAACUGACUCGUCGGGAUCUUUCAGCUACAGUGUGUUAGCGAAACAUCUGGAAUCAGUCGCAAUACAACCGCAUUUAUCGGCUGUGACAAAGGAGUGUGCUGCAGUUGUUUUAGUCUACCAGAUAGCACAGACGAUCUCUGUGGCACCGAUUGUAAGGCAAAACCUGGCGCAAAUGUGGUAAAGAAUGUUUAUUCAUGGUUCUGGGUGAGGACAUCUUCUCCAAAGAAAGUUUGGAACAAAUGCAUGGAAUUUAAAGUUUCCGAAGCGAACGGAGACGAGGUCUGGUACAAGUUAUUUGGUCAAAACGUUGUCCCCAAGAGGGGUCGUUGUUCCAGAAACGAGCCGCUUUUGACUGAUGGAAUUAUAGUUGUUCCUGAUAAUAAGACAGUUGGUAAAAUUCCAGCAGUCCAAGGAAUAUUAAAAUUUCGAAAGGACAAUCAAAAACUUUAUGUAAGAUCAAAUGAAAGAUGGAAUGCAAUUGCAGAAGAGAAAAAGGCAGUUACUACAUUUUGGAGCCAUCUGUAUAAUAUCAUUUUUUCACCUUUCCUAUUCAAGCUUGUAACUACUAAUCAAUAAUAAUUUCAAACCUUAUCUAAUUAAACCUUAUCUAAUCCAAUCUUAGUAUUUUUAGUCCAAAAUUUCUCGCUUUUCUUUUGCUUUUACUUUCCCUUUUUGCACAGUCCCGUGUUAUAUAGCUGGCUAACCUAUCAUCAAAGCCUCAAAAUUUAUAUAAGUAAUCAUGCGAUGGCGAGUACAA
This is a long non-coding RNA of Dendronephthya gigantea, 839 nucleotides long. RefSeq lists it as uncharacterized. The transcript has 5 exons. The record is from RefSeq and is a predicted model, not a curated record. Lineage: Eukaryota; Metazoa; Cnidaria; Anthozoa; Malacalcyonacea; Nephtheidae.